RNA transcript from Humulus lupulus (European hop), 1022 nucleotides. It is a transcript of the gene named calcineurin B-like protein 3, with no coding region annotated. The transcript is spliced from 7 exons. NCBI's taxonomy places the organism in Eukaryota, Viridiplantae, Streptophyta, Magnoliopsida, Rosales, Cannabaceae. The record is from RefSeq and is a predicted model, not a curated record.
UCAAAACCCACAGCAACCACAAGGAGAUGAACGGCUGAACGGCAUGACCAAGGCUGAACGGCUGAAGGAGAUGAACGGUGGUCGACGGCAGUGACGUUCCAGCAUUCUCGGCGGCGUCGACGGCGGUUCCAGCAGUCACGGCGGCGCACUACCGUGGCUCCAGCAGUCACGGCGGCGCAGGUCUCGGCUCCAGCAGGCUCUCCGGCGAUGCUGGUUGCUCACGGUUCCAGCCGUGGCUUCAGUUGUGGACUAAGGCUCGAUGAAAAAGGGACAAGCAGGGCUAAGGUCGACAAUGAAGGGAUAUUGACAGAGCUCUAAUGGCGAGGGCUUGAACGGCGCAGGCGAGGGUCGACUGUGUCUUCAUUGAAGAGGUCGGACAGGACUAAGUUGGAACAAGAUAAUGUGCAUCAAAUUCAUUCUGCUGCUCCCUGAUCCAAACCAACAGAACAAAUAGUGCAAGGAACACAAUGGGGACAAAUAAGAUUUGGUGGUUGAACAUUUGAAGAAUCUUUUCCUAGUUGAGCUUAAUAUCAGAAGUAGGAAAUGGUUAACAGAUAUGGAGUGUUUUGAUUUAGAGAAAAUAUCAUGUUGCAGUGCAUAGAUGGGUUCAAGCAUUUAUUUGCUUCCCUAUUGCGGUGCUUUGAUCUCGACUUGUAUAACCAAUCAAGAGGCCUAGACGAUCCUGCAGUUCUAGCAGAGGAGACAGUGUUUAGCGUAAGCGAAAUUGAAGCACUUUAUGAACUUUUUAAGAAGAGCAGUAGUACUGUGAUUGAUGAUGGAUUAAUCAACAAGGUCUAUAUUGAGAUGCAUUUCUUUGGCGCAAUACUAGACAACAUUGACAGUUGAAGUUUUUAGAAUAAAAAAUAUAUCUCACUAACAUUGGAUACAUUUCUUGUUUAUUAUUUGAUGAUGACAAAAUUUGAUUCUAGUAUAAACUAUCAUGUAAUAUGAUUUUGUAAGCUGAGUAGACUAAAUACUGAAAUUAUAUUUUUGAGUAAUUAAUAAAAAAUUAUUUUGUUGUA